UGCUCACAUUCUCUAGAGUUGUAGGAAUCCUUAAAAAUCAACCUCUACUUUUCUCUGCAUGUAAUUUUAUUAAUUUUCCUCCUUCUCUUUAGAAUAUUUCCCACAUUUUUGCCUAUUUGACAUCUUUAGAUCCUCCAGGUCUUUAUCACAGUGCCGAUGCAGCGUCUCUGCGCGCAGCCUGCCUCCGCCAUUUUGAAUCUGCAUUCGGCCGUGGAGCUGACGUGUCCGGAGCAGCCAUUUCGCUGGAGGAACUUCGGUCUGAAGGGCCAGCAGGGUGCAAGGCCUCUGCAUGUGGCAUCCUGCCAGCAAGUGAAACUAGAGGAAGCACAAAGAAAAAGAGAGGAAAAAAAAAAGAUGAUCUCUGGAUGGAGGCUAACCUUGCCAGAAAGACCAACAAUGUGAUUAGAGCAUUGAGGUUUUAGAGCCAUGUGAUAUCAAUCCAAACUCCCAACCUCCCCGGAAUGGAGGGAGGCUGAAGAUUGAGAAUCAUGUAGCCAAUAAUUCAACAAUCAUGCCUACAUAAUCAAACACCAGCAAAAACUCUGAACACCUGGAGCUCAGCUUCCAGUCUUCAUCCUGGCUCAGCCCCUAAUAUCCCAUGCUGUGGAAUCUCUUAAACCUCUUUGAUUGAGCCUUGGGACAAUCAGACUCUCACUCUAUUUUAGAAGGGUUCCAGUCUUCAGUGCUGAGCACAUACAAGUUGACAUUUCUCAGUCAUUGAAAGGCCUUGCUCCUGCUGAUGCUCAAAGCAUGAGAAGAAAACAAAGAGCAAUUCUUCUUGCCUUCCUACCCAACAGAAGGUACUCACUUUUUUUUAGAGAUCUGGUUCCUACUUGCUAACGUUCUAACUAAAUGCCAUGCAGUCUUCGAUCACUGUAAUAACAAGACUUACAUAAGGGUUAAUACUCAGGAGGAUAAAGAAUUGAAUGCUCACAAUUGAAUUCUAAGGACAUGAACUCAGGAAUAUUAUUAGUGUUGUUAAAUUUGCCAUAUCCCCAGUUUCUUUGUUCCAUGUACAAAUCUUUGACUAUCUUCAAUGAUCUCUUAAA
Physeter macrocephalus (sperm whale) is the source of this 1049-nucleotide long non-coding RNA. RefSeq lists it as uncharacterized. The record is from RefSeq and is a predicted model, not a curated record. NCBI's taxonomy places the organism in Eukaryota, Metazoa, Chordata, Mammalia, Artiodactyla, Physeteridae. The transcript has 5 exons.